RNAcentral lists this ribosomal RNA (292 nucleotides) under uncultured bacterium. RNAcentral describes it as "partial 16S ribosomal RNA". RNAcentral also lists the same sequence under 1 other name. The record is from RNAcentral.
GGACUACCCGGGUAUCUAAUCCCGUUUGCUCCCCUGGCUUUCGCGCCUCAGCGUCAGAAGAGGUCCAGCACGCCGCUUUCGCCACCGGCGUUCCUUCCGAUAUCUACGCAUUUCACCGCUCCACCGGAAGUUCCGCAUGCCCCUACCUCCCUCGAGACGGCCAGUAUCAAAGGCACUUUUCCGGUUGAGCCGAAAGAUUUCACCCCUGACUUGACCGCCCGCCUACGCGCCCUUUAAGCCCAGUGAAUCCGAACAACGUUCGCACGGUUCGUCUUACCGCGGCGGCUGGCAC